RNAcentral lists this ribosomal RNA (493 nucleotides) under uncultured bacterium. RNAcentral describes it as "partial 16S ribosomal RNA". It matches the Rfam family "Bacterial small subunit ribosomal RNA", at positions 30 to 523 of the family's 1533-position model. The record is from RNAcentral.
AUUGAACGCUGGCGGCAUGCUUUACACAUGCAAGUCGAACGGUAACAGGUUAAGCUGACGAGUGGCGAACGGGUGAGUAAUGCAUCGGAACGUACCCGGAAGUGGGGGAUAACGUAGCGAAAGUUACGCUAAUACCGCAUAUUCUGUGAGCAGGAAAGAGGGGGAUCGCAAGACCUCUCGCUUUCGGCGCGGCCGAUGUCGGAUUAGCUAGUUGGUGGGGUAAAGGCCUACCAAGGCGACGAUCCGUAGCGGGUCUGAGAGGAUGAUCCGCCACACUGGAACUGAGACACGGUCCAGACUCCUACGGGAGGCAGCAGUGGGGAAUUUUGGACAAUGGGCGAAAGCCUGAUCCAGCCAUGCCGCGUGAGUGAAGAAGGCCUUCGGGUUGUAAAGCUCUUUCGGCUGAAAAGAAAUCGCACAGGCUAAUACCCUGUGUGGAUGACGGUAUCAGCAUAAGAAGCACCGGCUAACUACGUGCCAGCCGCCGCAGUAA